Molecule: long non-coding RNA, 5319 nt
Organism: Haemorhous mexicanus (house finch)
Lineage: Eukaryota; Metazoa; Chordata; Aves; Passeriformes; Fringillidae
Exons: 2
Source: RefSeq, a predicted model, not a curated record
GGCCGCUGGCUCGGUAGUCGCAGCGCUCCCUUUCCCGCCCCCCGGAGGCCAUUACCUCAUGGCCCAGCCCUGCCGCGGAGGAGGGGCCGAGCGUCGCCCGGCAACCGGCCCCCUGCCGCGGGACGGGCUGGACAAGCUGCGGACGAGGAUGUCCGCGGACGGCGGGAGAGGUUUGUCGCCGUGCGGAGCAGCCCGAGCGCGGCCGCGGGCAGCGCUGCCCGCCACUGCUCCCACAGCUCCCGGGACAACCGACCUGGGCUGGUUUGGCAGGCGGAGAGGGCAAGAAUGAUUACAGGAUGUAUUAAACAGCAGAAAAUCCUCAAAGGAAAUAUUUGCUAUGAAUGUGCCAUAUACAGAGAAAUGUCUCAAGUCCAAGUACUAUUCCACUCUUUCUGGUGGUGCCUCGCUACAGGACAAGGAGCAAUGGCCAUAAACUAAAUCACAGGAAGUUUCAACUGAACAUGAGGAGGAAUUUCUUUACAUUGAGGGUGACAGAGCACUGAACAGGCUGCCCAGGGAGGUCGUGGAAUCUCCCUCUCUGGAGACAUUCAAAACCCUCCUGUGUAACCUGCUCUCGCUCACCCUGCCUUGGCAGGGGGGUUGGACAAGAUGAUCUACAGAGGUCACAGAACUAUCUCUUGGAGGAAGGUUUGACUGUUUUUGUCUGCUGGCAAGGGAGGAACAGAACUGCGUUCAAGGUUACAGCUGGUAAGAAAAAAAAAUGUUGCAGUCAUGCUGGUGGUGACAGGAUUCCAGAAGCAUGGAAUAACCUCCAGAGAGUGUAAAUUAAUUCAGGGCUUGACCCCGGAUAACCCAUAAAAAUAAAUGAUCCAACCCUUCACAGAUGCAAACAAAGAGAAUCCCAGAUGGGGAUGUAAGCUUUUGGGUGACAGAAAAGAGGAGAAAUAUUGCAAGGGCAACAGGAUUCUCAGGCAGCCGCCUUUUGAGCAGGCGUGUCUACAGAGCAAAUCCCCUGCUAGUGAUUUAAAUGGGGCAUGUGCGUCAACCUAAAAGCUUGGUGCUGCUGCCAAAAGGAACAGGCUGCUCUCCCCACUGCUCUUGUGGAGGGCCCAGGCACUCCUAGUUUUCCCAAGGACUGGUUCUGCUGCUUAGGAUUCCUCAGUGAGCGACUCAGUUUACUAACCUCACACAGAACUUUUUUUUUCCUUGUUGGUUUUCUGCCCCGUUACUAAACUGAACUGAUUCACCCUAACAUCACAGAAAUAUGUAGUGAGCACAAAAGAUGAGUUGAAACCAUUAGUCUGGGAAGAAAGGGAUCCACCCCUCUGGAAACCUUGCACUCUUAAAUCACCUCAGUAGUCUCAUCUAAAUCCUCCCUAAAAUAGAAAGUUCAUGUUACUGCUAAGAAGUCUAACAAAAAGGUUGGUGCCUUCCACUUCUCACCCUUAGCUGAGUCGUCCCAUUGCUCCCUUUGUGCUAAAUCUUGAAUACAUGUGACCCUUGCCAGUGAGCACGCCAAAUCAGGAGGCUUUUAAAAAGGGUUCUUUUCUGAUUAAUACUGAAACAGCUAACUCUGAAGUCAGAUGAGUGACAGAGGUUGCACAAGAGAGGAAACAAGACUGGAAGGUUGCAAAAGAUGGAUGGAGCCCCAAAGCAGCAGCUGGGAACUUGUUAUAAUGUGUAACAUAAGGCCGAGACAGCAGUGAGGACUAAUGGUCUGUACAGUGAAGGAGAAGUAAUUUUGAGGAACAAAAGUUUGCUCUGUGCUUUACAUACUAUAAAUGAGAAGCAGAGGGGUAAAAAAAAAAAAAAAAAAAAAAAAAAAGCAGAGGAAGACACAGAACAGAAGCACCUUGGAAUCCAGCCCAGGAAGAAAAUCAAAUGCUGAGGGGAAAAAAAAAAAAAAGAGAAGGCAGAGGGAAAACCAGGAAGUAGAAAAGUGAAUAUCUGCACCAAACACAGCAAGAAACAAGUGUGCAUGAUUGUAGGUUUCUUAUUGAGAAGAACCAAUUGACCUGUCACGUCUGUAAGGAACAAGGAUUUGAGAUGUACUGCUGAGACUGAAAAGACUCUUGUUAAAGUGAGCAGAAGUCCUUCACAGUGGGAGAAAUGGCAAUGACACACACUAUUUACACUCAAACACAGUAUGUAGAAAAGAGAACUUGGGGCUACGGGAUUGCCAGGCCCUUGCAUGCUAGGUGUGCAUCUCUUCACUGGUCUUAUGACAUGUAGCAAUUGUUUGGUAGUGCUGCGCCAAAUCCUCCUCAUGAUUUUUUGGUCAUGUGGUGCUAUAGUGCAUGUAAGUAUACUCCUUUGCAUUUCUAUCACCAGCUCAGUUUAUCCACCUAAUAAUUCCAAAGCUGGGAAUUGAUGCAAAAACCAACUACUUGCAAAAAGUUUCCUAGAUUUCUCUGCUCUCCUUCUGUUUUCAUUAUCUUUUCCAUUUCCUCUCUCUUCUUGAUUUUAUCAUAUAUGAUAUUAUCAUCACAUUAUAUUUUCAUAUUAAUUCUCAAUUUUGCUUCCUUGAUUACAUCUCUAGAAGAGACUUUAUUUCCACCCUGCUAAAAUACAGGACCUUUCAAAAGUACUUUUCAGCUAGCAUGCUGUUGUUUUUCUUGUAAUCCUCACCAUUGGCUGUCUGUAGAACCUCCUUUAUAGGCCCUGUAGAGUAAUCAAAGAAUACAAUAAAAGCUUUAAAAGCAUUUGAAACCAGUUUAAGAAAUCUCUGAUUAGUUUGCCAGCUGAAGACUCCAAUUGCAGCUGCAAUUGUGGGGUAAACUAUUUUAAUCUCAGAGAACAAACUAAUUCCAGUGGGCAUUAACAAGUGUUUGGAGAGAAAAAAAAAUGUCUAAAACAUACCCUGUGUUUCUGAAUAGCUGCUAUGGAGUUAAGAAGAAAGGAGUUGCAGUGCUUUCUCUUUUUGUUCUUCCUGCUGGUAUCUGGUGUUGCUGGCCCCAUUUCUCACACUUUUAUAUCAGAGUGAACUAAGUAAUGCUGCAAAUUCUUUAAAAAUAUCUAUGAAGUGUCUGCAUAACACUUGCCUGUACAACAUUGUUUCUUGUUUAAAUUGUGUUUUUUGUAAAGCUGUCAUUGCUUUUACCUGAAUCUGUAUCAAAACACAGAUCCUUGCAAGUUGUCUCACAGAGCAUGGGAAAAUUAAAAAUGUAAGUACUUUUGACUGAUUUUUUUCUUUGUUGAUGUUUGGGGGUUUUGUUUGUUUUGAAGGGGGUUUUUCUGUUUAUUUAUUUGUUCCAUUUUACAGGACGUUAUUCAAUGCUACCUUUGCUGGAAGAAUCAAAUCGGCAGAAAAGUUUUUCUUGUUCAGAGCUUUGUGCUUCUUUCAGCUAGCAUCAGGCAGCACCAAUGCCUUCCCCUUCUUCAACUGCAUCUCUGCUGGAAAUGUCUUUCCUGUAUGGGGGCUGCAUCUUUCAGGAGCAGUACCAAAUUAUGGAAUUUGCCUGAAGUGUAAUUGUGACUAUGAUCGAAGGAGAGCUGAUGCUGAUUUGAGCAAAAACACAUGGAAAAUGAGGGGCUAAAUAAAAAUAAAAUUAAAAAAUAACUUUAUGGACCAGCUAAAGCAUAAACACAAGCUGAGGAGAGAAAUAAAAUGAAGAUUUAAAGAUUUUAAGGAGAAAACUCAUAAAAAUUUUCUUCAUAGUGGAUCAUAAAUAAUAAUUAUGGCAAAAGAAGCAUUAUUCCAGACCUUUCAGCUUGAGGGAAAAAAAAAAAAACAAAUGGAGGCAAACAGUGACUCAGAGGAUGGGGUUUUGCACAUACUUUGCAUUAAUGAGAUGCAAGUUGGAAUAAAUAGUUUGUAAAGCUCAGAUUAGCAUUAAAAGUGAAGUCAAGUACACAAACAAAGAGGAAAUGAAAUGCUAGAUAGUGGGAUAAUGAUAAAUGUGCCAGGCAUGCAUUUUGCAAGAAAACUAAAAAAACAUGUAAUCAAGCAAAGUCAAAUGAAAAUUACACCAUGGAAUGAUGAUAAUACUUCUGACAUUGUGAAUUUUAAUCAGAAAGCAAAAGAUAUUCAGAAUAUGCAACAUAAAAGCCACUGCUUGCUGCUGGAACAGUCAAUUUGUAUAUGUGAUAAAGAAGCUCGACUCUUGUGUGAGUACAAACUGCUGGAUAUAAUUGACAACAACAGGAUGUUCUCCUGCCAUAUUAUAGCUAGAACAGAUGAAAAUAAUUCAACCAGCAUAGCAUGCUUUACACACGGUCUACUGCAUUAGAACAAGGAAUGAUUUGAUUAUUGAAAUACACACAAAAAUAAAUAAUUUUACAUAAUCUCAAAAUUACAUAAGCAGAAUGGUAGUCACUGAAAAAGCAAAAUAUUGACAAGGCCUAUUCAGCUUCUCUGUCUCAGCAACACAGACAUCAUCAUAUUUUGGAAGCCAUCAAGUAGGCUUAGGUGUUGAGAAUGCUGUUAGUAGUGAGCCUUACAGCAGAAGAGUAUCAGCUCUGCCAGCCAGGCUCACAAUGCCAGUAUCAGAGCUGAUUAUACUCAGGAAUGUGAUAUGAGAAAUGCCUGGCAGAAACUGUGGUAAUCCAUUACAAUUAACCUCAUCUCCAUAGCAGUUAAUACAAACAAACAAAUAAACAAACAAAAAGGAAGUUGGUCAUAUACAGAACAGUUGCUGAUUUCCCAGGGAAAACCAAUUAUUUUGGGAAGGUAAAAAUACCCUGUAAUAUGCCAGCUUUCAAAGAUAUUAACUCAGAGAGUAUUAAAAUUUUCAGCAUAUCUCACCACAUCUCUUUCCAACCUUAGGCAUAUGCAAAGCAUUGAGACCAUAAGAGAGGAAGAGGAAACACAAGCAUGGCAUACAUGUAGUAUUGGUGACCUUGCAAGUUGAUCCAGUGAGCUGAGGUUUGGAGCCUUGUUAUCUUACAAGAAACCACUAGUAAUUUUUUGCCUCACAGUGAGGCAAAACUUUGAACCACCACCUCGCCAGUAAGACAAAUUUUGAAACAUUAUUGCAAAACACAAACUGUUUUGUAAUAAUGUUUCAGACGUGUAGAGGAUAACUCUUUGUUUGAGGAAAAAAAAAUUUCAAGCAAGAAUCCCAGAAAGCACCUAAGAAUUUGAAAAGUCAUUGCUAUUUUCAAAUAUUAGAAAUAUAUGAUACUAAAACAGUAACACUUGAAGUUAUUUCAUGAAUUUGAGAUGGACCAGUAAUUACAAUGGAGUUGUACCAGAAAACCAAGAUAACAAAAUCAUAAUAUCAUAUCAAAAUUAUAAUAUCAUAAUCACAUAAUAAUGUUAGCACAGAAAUACAAAAAUAAAGAACAAAGUUUCACUCAAACAAUGAAAAUAUGUGCCAAUUUUAAGAGGAUGUUGGAAAAUAAACUGAAAAAUAAGAA